UGGGGAGCAAACAGGAUUAGAUACCCUGGUAGUCCACGCCGUAAACGAUGUCGACUUGGAGGUUGUGCCCUUGAGGCGUGGCUUCCGGAGCUAACGCGUUAAGUCGACCGCCUGGGGAGUACGGCCGCAAGGUUAAAACUCAAAUGAAUUGACGGGGGCCCGCACAAGCGGUGGAGCAUGUGGUUUAAUUCGAUGCAACGCGAAGAACCUUACCUGGUCUUGACAUCCACGGAACUUUCCAGAGAUGAGAAUGUGCCUUCGGGAACCGUGAGACAGGUGCUGCAUGGCUGUCGUCAGCUCGUGUUGUGAAAUGUUGGGUUAAGUCCCGCAACGAGCGCAACCCUUAUCCUUUGUUGCCAGCGGUCCGGCCGGGAACUCAAAGGAGACUGCCAGUGAUAAACUGGAGGAAGGUGGGGAUGACGUCAAGUCAUCAUGGCCCUUACGACCAGGGCUACACACGUGCUACAAUGGCGCAUACAAAGAGAAGCGACCUCGCGAGAGCAAGCGGACCUCAUAAAGUGCGUCGUAGUCCGGAUUGGAGUCUGCAACUCGACUCCAUGAAGUCGGAAUCGCUAGUAAUCGUGGAUCAGAAUGCCACGGUGAAUACGUUCCCGGGCCUUGUACACACCGCCCGUCACACCAUGGGAGUGGGUUGCAAAAGAAGUAGGUAGCUUAACCUUC
RNAcentral lists this ribosomal RNA (681 nucleotides) under Escherichia sp. RNAcentral's name for it is "bacterial SSU rRNA". It matches the Rfam family "Bacterial small subunit ribosomal RNA", at positions 762 to 1443 of the family's 1533-position model. Lineage: Bacteria; Pseudomonadati; Pseudomonadota; Gammaproteobacteria; Enterobacterales; Enterobacteriaceae. The record is from RNAcentral.